This 450-nucleotide ribosomal RNA is filed under the name uncultured bacterium. Its description in RNAcentral is "partial 16S ribosomal RNA". It matches the Rfam family "Bacterial small subunit ribosomal RNA", at positions 354 to 796 of the family's 1533-position model. The record is from RNAcentral.
GUGGGGAAUUUUGGACAAUGGGCGCAAGCCUGAUCCAGCCAUUCCGCGUGCAGGAUGAAGGCCUUCGGGUUGUAAACUGCUUUUGUACGGAACGAAAAGGUUCUCUCUAAUACAGGGGGCUGAUGACGGUACCGUAAGAAUAAGCACCGGCUAACUACGUGCCAGCAGCCGCGGUAAUACGUAGGGUGCAAGCGUUAAUCGGAAUUACUGGGCGUAAAGCGUGCGCAGGCGGUGAUGUAAGACAGAUGUGAAAUCCCCGGGCUCAACCUGGGAACUGCAUUUGUGACUGCAUUGCUGGAGUGCGGCAGAGGGGGAUGGAAUUCCGCGUGUAGCAGUGAAAUGCGUAGAUAUGCGGAGGAACACCGAUGGCGAAGGCAAUCCCCUGGGCCUGCACUGACGCUCAUGCACGAAAGCGUGGGGAGCAAACAGGAUUAGAUACCCCGGUAGUCC